GCCGGGUGCGGCGGCGCGCGCCUGUAGUCCCAGCUACUCGGGAGGCUGAGGCAGGAGGAUCGCUUGAGCCCAGGAGUUCUGGGCUGUAGUGUGCUAUGCAGAUCGGGUGUCCGCACUAAGUUUGGCAUCAAUAUGGUGACCUCCCGGGAGCGGGGCACCACCAGGUUGCCUAAGGAGGGGUGAACCGGCCCAGGUUGGAAACGGAGCAGGUCAAGUUUUAGUCUUAAACUUCACUUUGUGAGGUAAGGGGUGGGAAGGGAGGAAAGAGACUAACAGUUACUGAUCACUUGUGCCAGAAAAUUUACUUAU
This 309-nucleotide signal recognition particle RNA is filed under the name Suricata suricatta (meerkat). Its description in RNAcentral is "Metazoan signal recognition particle RNA (ENSSSUG00005006346.1)". It matches the Rfam family "Metazoan signal recognition particle RNA". From Rfam's summary of the family: The signal recognition particle (SRP) is a universally conserved ribonucleoprotein. It is involved in the co-translational targeting of proteins to membranes. The eukaryotic SRP consists of a 300-nucleotide 7S RNA and six proteins: SRPs 72, 68, 54, 19, 14, and 9. Lineage: Eukaryota; Metazoa; Chordata; Mammalia; Carnivora; Herpestidae. The record is from Rfam by way of RNAcentral.